Molecule: ribosomal RNA, 373 nt
Filed under: uncultured organism
Description: partial 16S ribosomal RNA
Rfam family: Bacterial small subunit ribosomal RNA
Source: RNAcentral
GGGGGGUGCAAGCGUUAUUCGGAAUCACUGGGCGUAAAGAGCGCGUAGGCGGUCUCUUAAGUCAGAUGUGAAAGCCCGGGGCUCAACCCCGGAAGUGCAUUUGAAACGAAGGGACUUGAGUAUGGGAGAGGGAAGUGGAAUUCCUGGUGUAGCGGUGAAAUGCGUAGAUAUCAGGAGGAACACCGGUGGCGAUGGCGACUUCCUGGACCAAUACUGACGCUGAGGCGCGAAGGCGUGGGGAGCAAACAGGAUUAGAUACCCUGGUAGUCCACGCAGUAAACGUUGAACACUAGGUGUAGCGGGUAUUGACCCCCUGCUGUGCCGCAGCUAACGCAUUAAGUGUUCCGCCUGGGGAGUACGGCCGCAAGGCUAA